Colossoma macropomum (tambaqui) is the source of this 567-nucleotide long non-coding RNA. RefSeq lists it as uncharacterized. The transcript has 3 exons. The record is from RefSeq and is a predicted model, not a curated record. NCBI's taxonomy places the organism in Eukaryota, Metazoa, Chordata, Actinopteri, Characiformes, Serrasalmidae.
UUCCUGUUUGGACGAAAACAUAUUGGCUGGUAACAGGAACAGAGUUUCUGAAGAGCACUGCAGAGAGAGCUGCUGGAGAAGAACAGCUGUUGGUGGGAAGAUGGAUUACCAGAAGAACAGAAACAGAAGACGUAAGAGGAAAGAAAGAAUAAGAACUGAUCCUUUAACAGAGGUGAAGAAAAUCAUCCAGGAAGAACUGAUAUACCCCUCAGAGAACUGUACAGACAGAGAGAAAGAAACUGAUGAGUGUGAUGUGAGGAGAGAGAGAGAGAGCAGUGAAACAAUGAAAAGACGCAGUCUUGAUCACUUCACUCAUUUCUGAGGUUUCCACCAAAGUUCAAGCAGCUCAGAUGAAGAAAGCUGGAAGAUUAAUGGUUUAAUCUGACUGAGUUUGAGAAAACCUGAUAGUUUCUGUUCAGACUGGACUCAUAUUUGAUUUAGUAGAAGGUGUUUGAGUUGAACUCUUUAUUUUAAUGAAGAUUUCAUCACUAAUAUCAGCCUUGCUGAGUCACAGAUGCAGCACCUGUUACUCAGAGAGAUGAUUUAUUUCUGUUAAAAAUACACUGU